RNAcentral lists this non-coding RNA (56 nucleotides) under Spodoptera frugiperda (fall armyworm). Lineage: Eukaryota; Metazoa; Arthropoda; Insecta; Lepidoptera; Noctuidae. The record is from RNAcentral.
AUAUUGUCCUGUCACAGCAGUACGUGCACUGUUACUGCUGCGUCCGGACAAACGGG